RNAcentral lists this ribosomal RNA (432 nucleotides) under uncultured bacterium. RNAcentral describes it as "bacterial SSU rRNA". It matches the Rfam family "Bacterial small subunit ribosomal RNA", at positions 958 to 1392 of the family's 1533-position model. The record is from RNAcentral.
AACGCGAAGAACCUUACCUACUCUUGACAUCCUGCGAACUUGGUAGAGAUACCUUGGUGCCUUCGGGAACGCAGAGACAGGUGCUGCAUGGCUGUCGUCAGCUCGUGUUGUGAAAUGUUGGGUUAAGUCCCGUAACGAGCGCAACCCUUGUCCUUAGUUGCCAUCAUUUAGUUGGGGACUCUAAGGAGACUGCCGGUGACAAACCGGAGGAAGGCGGGGACGACGUCAAGUCAUCAUGGCCCUUACGAGUAGGGCUACACACGUGCUACAAUGGCAAGUACAGAGGGCCGCGAAGCCGCGAGGUGGAGCUAAUCUCACAAAGCUUGUCGUAGUCCGGAUUGGAGUCUGCAACUCGACUCCAUGAAGUCGGAAUCGCUAGUAAUCGCAAAUCAGAAUGUUGCGGUGAAUACGUUCCCGGGUCUGUACACACCG